RNAcentral lists this ribosomal RNA (484 nucleotides) under uncultured bacterium. RNAcentral's name for it is "partial 16S ribosomal RNA". It matches the Rfam family "Bacterial small subunit ribosomal RNA", at positions 30 to 507 of the family's 1533-position model. The record is from RNAcentral.
AUUGAACGCUGGCGGCAGGCCUAACACAUGCAAGUCGAGCGGAUGAAGGGAGCUUGCUCCUGGAUUCAGCGGCGGACGGGUGAGUAAUGCCUAGGAAUCUGCCUGGUAGUGGGGGAUAACGUCCGGAAACGGGCGCUAAUACCGCAUACGUCCUGAGGGAGAAAGUGGGGGGUCUUCGGACCUCACGCUAUCAGAUGAGCCUAGGUCGGAUUAGCUAGUUGGUGGGGUAAAGGCCUACCAAGGCGACGAUCCGUAACUGGUCUGAGAGGAUGAUCAGUCACACUGGAACUGAGACACGGUCCAGACUCCUACGGGAGGCAGCAGUGGGGAAUAUUGGACAAUGGGCGAAAGCCUUAUCCAGCCAUGCCGCGUGUGUGAAGAAGGUCUUCGGAUUGUAAAGCACUUUAAGUUGGGAGGAAGGGCAGUAAGUUAAUACCUUGCUGUUUUGACGUUACCAACAGAAUAAGCACCGGCUAACUUCGUG